CAAAGUACAAAUUAAUUUAUAUAGUCUUCCUAUAUCCAAAUACUCAUUUGCAUUUCUUUAUCUGCUCAGUUAAGUAGUUUUACAUAUUGUUCUAGUAAUUUUGCUAACCUGACACAAGAGUUCCUGGUUUGCAAUUCAAAACGCGACAUGAAUUAGAAAAAUCACAUAAAGGGACAACAAUAAAAGCUAAAAAGCAUUGUAGACCCGUUGUAGCAUAUACGAAUUAUUGCAGUUGGAGCUUCAACCGGACAAAUGGGCAAGCAACGAGGCGUCAAGACCCCGCAAAGACAUGCAAAAUAUGCCAACUACAUGUACAUAUAUAAAGUGGCAUAUAAAUAAAAAAGAAUUGAAACAUUUCUAUGCGUCACGCGGCAUUUGCGACAGUUAGUCGAACGACCGAACGGCCUAUCUCCAUCCCUGGCCAGUCUGUGCAGCAUUUGCCAUUCAGUCGCUGUCGUCACUUGAGAGUGAAAUGAAUGCGGGUUGAAAAAUAACGGCAUUACACCCAGCGAAAGACAGACUAAAACAAAAAAAGAAUUAAAAUUGGCAAGAGUUGCCAAUGAAUUUUGCAAUAGGGCAAUGUCAAUGCACUUUCGUCGUAUUCUAAAAUAGACAGGCGGUCAGCGGGUAGAGAGUCGCGGAUCGCGGCUCGCGGUUCGCGGAUGAGUACAAUGGGUAGCGGGAAAUGGAUGGAGGCAGAGAUGCAGAUAGAGAUUGUACUCAAUCUGCUAUUCUGCUUGAAGGAGGAGCACUUAAAAACUGAAUGGGAAAUUGUUUGGAAAUGCUUUUUAAGCAAAUUGCAAAACAAUUAGCUGGAAGUCAAACGAUUCGAGAGAAGUUCUUAAACCUUAACCCUCUUUCAAAAUUAUUUAACACAAAACCAUUAGGCCAUGU
Molecule: long non-coding RNA, 894 nt
Organism: Drosophila albomicans
Lineage: Eukaryota; Metazoa; Arthropoda; Insecta; Diptera; Drosophilidae
Exons: 3
Source: RefSeq, a predicted model, not a curated record